Long non-coding RNA from Gallus gallus (chicken), 8575 nucleotides. NCBI's taxonomy places the organism in Eukaryota, Metazoa, Chordata, Aves, Galliformes, Phasianidae. The record is from Ensembl.
GAGCUCAGCCUAACUGCUUUUGCAAUUGCCAGCAGCAGAAUUGAUGGGUUGUUGUUUUUUUCCUUAAAAAUGAGGGCAAAGAUCAUUGACUAAAUAUCACCCUCCCUUCCUCUCAACCACAAGGAGCAUUUGAGAAGUUCCUGAGUUUUUACCAACUCCAGAUGCCAGGUGUACCAAAGAACAGGCCAUUUUUCAAAGCUGUUCUAUUUGUCUGGAUAAUUAGAUCCGUUCUGCUUCAGAACUGAGGAAAUUAAUGGGGGGUAAGAAAACCAAAAGCAUGCACGUUUCCUCCGCUUGGAGGGAGAAAAAAGCACCCAAAAAGCUUUGGAAGGAUUCAUGCAAACAGUGCAGGAAGGAGAGGAGCAGAGAUCCCACAGUUGCAUCCAUCCGUCCGUCCGUCCAUCUGUCCAUCAUGCAGCCCUGCUGCUGUCCACCUUCCCCGAGCAGAAUUGGCCAAGCACAUCUCCCUACUGGGAGCUCACAGAAGUGCCACAGACAUCACCAUGCAGCCUCCUGGGUCGCUCUGCUAAUGGGCAAUUACUGCUGUUCUGGGGGCUUUGUAGGCAGAUGUCCCUGCUCUGCCUUCAGCCUCAUGCAUCCCUGAGUCCGUUAGGUAGCUGCAGAGGGCAGGGCAGUAUGUGCAAUGUGGAGAACUCUAUGAGCUCCGGAGAGCCUCUUUGGUGGCAGCCCUGCCAGGAGCAGACACUGACUUCAUGACAAGCUCAGCAGCCGGGUGUCGAGAAGUGCUCUGCCCUGGAUUGCAGCAAGCUGCUCUGCUUUUUUCCUUUUUUUCCCUCCUAUUGAUUUAGUUUGGAAGCAUUUCAGAGGGCACUUUCUCCUGUUAUAUGGUGAUAAAAUCCUGGGCUCAAUAACUGAGAUCUGAUGUCUGGCAUCAGAGCAAUACAAAUAACAAUAAAAGAAACAAAAUAGUGGUGAGUCAGGCUGGUUUCUGCUUGGAAAAACAUCAGUUCUCCUUAUUACUCAUUGGCUUUGCCAUCUCCUCUGGGGGACCCUGCCGGCCACCGCAGGCUGCAGCAGAACAGAGGCCGGGCUGAACUCCAUCCCGCCAGGGCGCGCUUUGCUGGGGCUCGGGGGGUUGUGUGCCUGUGCCGAUGGCACCCAGAGCACAUAGGAGCACAGCAGCAGUGUGCCCAGCCAGCCCGGCCCUGCUGUUUUCUUCUAUCAAGACUUCUAUUGGUUCAUGUCUAGCUUGUUUGCUUCCUUUUGGCACCAUUUUUUCUCUGCAAGUGAAAAAUUUACCCUGAAUCACAGCACGUUAUUUCCACUUGUCAAGAUAAAGGUUAAUGAAGUACUGGUAACUGCAUCACAGAUCUGGCUCUGUCUCUAUCUGCGAUUUUUUAUGGCGCUCUGUGCUGCGCAGCCCAUGCAUGGAAAAGGCUGAGAUUAAAAAAUGAUAAUAAAAACAAAACAAAGUGUUAGAGGUCAAGAAAUUCGCAGUGGCAGAGCUGAGCCGCUGCCCGUCGCCGCUGCCUCUCCCCGUGGGGCCGUGCAGUGGGCACAGGGCGAGGAUUACCCCAGCAUUCCAGCAGUAUUUGAGCAGCAUUUCCCAUUGCAGACAUUGGCUCUGGGUAGCAGCUGCUCGGGUAUUCAUACACCGUAUAAAUAAUACAGAGAGUACGUAGGUAUGUACCUCCUACAAAUAUAAUAUAGGAUUUAGAAGCAACAUCACGAUAUAUUUGAUGCGUAGCUGUCUUCACAAAGAUUUGCACCGGAGCUGCAGGAGGAUUUUGCACGCUGGCUGCACAAACCUCCCAUGCCUGAGCACAGAGCGGGGUGGCACAGCGGAGCCGCUCAGCGCAGCGGGGCUGUGAGGCGGGAGGAACCACGGCCACCAGCUCGUCUCAUAGUCUGUAGGCACAAGACCAACGUCUAAUCCUGCUGAUACAAAAGAUGCACUGGCUUAGCAGCAGCCCGUGCGGCUGCAGGAAGGAAGGGAGGGGCAGCCUUGUUUUCUUCCCAGGGAAGGCCAACGACUUUUGGGAUGGGUGUCAGAAGCUGCCGGUUGGGCUGAGUCAUGAGGUUGGCAUGGGGCGUUUCUCAUUAAGGCUGGCUUGAACGCACGCCAAGGAGGAUCUCCAAAAUUCACAGCUCAUCAUAGGGUUAAAAAUCCCACGGUCUGCUAUUCUGCUCCGCCGCAUGCGACCCGAAGCCUGGGCAGGUUGUGCAGAGAAACCCGAACACGAAAUACCCUGCAACGCCUGAAGAGCUCAUGAAGUGAUGGAGAACAUCAGGAGCCAAAGGGAUCUGUGCAGAGCAGCGGAUGGAGCACUUGCUGGGGCUGCUGGGAGCCUCGCUGGCUCCUCACCAUCCACUGAACUUAAAGGUUGUGUUGUCACAGACGUAACCUCCAGAUCUAACGAGCUGCUCACAGAAAGGAGAUCUGCUAAAGCAGCAGGGCUGCCCCUCUGGCUGCAGCAGUAGCUCACCAGACAGCCCAGCACGGCCGAGUCAGAGCAGCGGUGCAGGGUGGGACCUGACUGUGCCGACAGCGCCAGAAGGAAAAUAUCUCACAUUUUAUGUAUUCAUGAAAAAUAGUAAAAGCGGAUGCAAAAAUGAGACAAAACAAACCUUUGCCCACUAGGUGGCUGUAAUUGUUAUGGCCCUGCUUCGUUUUUGGCAUCAAAUUGUCUUCGGCAGAAUGCCUUCCUCCUUCGUGCCCUGCUCUGUGUGCUGGGGACCUCUGUUGUGCCGGCAGCGGAGCACUCCUCGCUCAGCACAUUUCAGUCAUCUUUACCAAACAUCGGUGUUAAACCAGCUUGCUGCACUGCGUCGGAGGGCCCAGCACUGUUCUGAAGGACGGAGCGUGCAUUCGUUUCUCACUACUUCAUUUUCAGAUGGCAUAAGGAACGAAUAACCCUUUGGAAAGGCUUUCCCCAUGCCGUGCCAUGAAGCACAAGCAGCUUCCUAUUACUGUUGUAUCACCAAAACUUUGCAAAGCCGAUGGAUGAAAGCCCAGAAGGCAGGAUUGAGCAUCUGUGUCCUACAUUGAGGAUCAGCGCUGAUGUGAAAAAGAAGCGGGAUCUGCAGGAAAGGAGGCUGGAGUGAUGCAGCACAGGGAACGCGCUGCUCCGUGCUGGGCCAGGCUCAGCUCUGGGAGGAGGAGCGGGGCACUGCUGUGCCGCAGCCUGCAGGUCUGUCUGCCCGCAGCACGGGUUGGUCUCAUUCCGGUGGGAUUCCCCGCACCCAAUGGUACGGCCCCGGUACCACACAUACGUCCAACACCUCUGGAUUUCAGAGCCUGGAAGAGAUGGCACCUGUGGCACAAGGGGAGCUGCAAGAUCUGCCUUAGAAGAAUUCCAGAACGGCUCUGACGGUGGUUUAACAUCGGUCAAGUAGCUCAUUCGAUCUAUUGCUCGCUCUUGCAGAAGUACCACAGAAAAGUGCUCGGAGGCCACAGAGGCAGUCAGACCAGCUGUGUCCUCCUGCUUUAACUGUUUCUCCCUAAAUUAAUCCCAGCGGAGUGCUCUGUUUUGUGCGGGCCCUGCAGAGGGAGGUGUCCCUGGGCACUGAGCUCCCCUGGCUGCAUGCUGGCCGUGCCCCGGGCGGUCGCACCGCUGUGCUGCAGGCUGGCCCUGCCCUUCCCGCUGCAUGCAGAGCCAACCGAGCCAUGCAUUUAAAUCGAGUUCAUCACCCUCUGACUGAACACCGUAUGGAAUUAUGUUAAUCGAGAAGGCAUAAUGAGCCUUCACAUUCACCUGACUGUAAGUAAGGAUGAAGUGCUGAACUAAAGUGUCUCUUUAAUCCUAAAUUGGUCCUUAUCCCCAACACCUCUACAAGAAUGUCCUGUGUGCAGAGCACAGAACUCGGUCAUUGUGCCCAUGUUCUGGGGAUGUCCUCAGAGAACUGCCACUGUCCUGCAUAGGCACUGUUUUCCUAUCUACAAAAUAAGAUAAAGCAUUUCUGAGUCUGCAGCAAAAUAGUGAGACAAAUGGCCAAAAGAGAUAGGUACCAUUAAAGGUGGAGGUCUGCUUUUUCCUCUUCUCCUGUUUCCUUGAAGGCAAUUCCUGCCAUCAUCCUUUGAAACAACCUGAGCACAUCCCCAGCACUGGGGCAGAAUAGCUGAGGCUCCUGACAUGCAGUGAUGGAGUUGUGGAUGCUUUGUGUGCUCAGCCAGGAGACACACAGCAGCAGAGGCAUGCAAACCCAGCAGCUAUUUUGGAAUGCCACACACAGCCCAGAGAGAGCUGCACACGUAAGGGUAACAGAGGUGUGUGGGGCUGCCCCCAGGGUGGUCUGACCUGUGAAGGAGAUACCCAGCUGGGAGCCGAGCUGUGAGGCCAGCAGCGAGGUGGGCCCCAGCCUUGGGCAGAGGGAUGGGGACAGCAGCCCUGGGGAGCCCAGCCCGGUGCCAGCAGCGGCGCACGCCUUGCCCUGUGGGCAGGAGCUCUGUGCCCUCUCUCGUCUCACCUGGGCAUUGCUCUGAAGCAAAGCAUUCCUGCCCAACACGCACCGCGUUCAGUGGGGAGUUUUUGCACGUUCCCGUUUGGUUUUGUACCAUUUCUAGCAUUUCUGGCAAAAACAUUUCCUCUGACUGUUUUCCUUCUAGAAACAGCCUCUUCCAGACAGGGCUGCUCUGCCACUGCACAGCGGGCAGACGUGUGGCUAUUUAAAACGUGGAGCUGGAACGUCAGCCAAGCACUUGUCUCGUUCCAAGCAGAGCUGGAGCUGAGGGCACACUGCGGGGUGCACCCUGCCCGGCCCGGGGGCUCAGCGGUGUCGCAGCCCCUGUGUUCAGUUCAAGGCUUCCAGGGAGCAAAUCAGUGACAAAACCCAACAAAGUUUUAGGAGCAGGUAUUUCUCAGCCUGGUAUUUCUGCCCCCUGCUCCCAGCUCCUGUGCACUCUGUGCCCGGUGGUUUAAUUAGUUGCCAAGCUGCACGCAGCGGAGCUCAGCAGCAGCCAUCAGAUCUGACAUUUUGCUCACAUGAGGGUCGUCGGUGAUUUUUCUCCCACCCGCUGCAGCCCCCCUGUUCUGCUGGGAGAUGCAGAGUCAUGGCUCUGCCUGCCUGGCUCCCUGCCACCCAACUGCUCCUUUAAAACCCCAUACCUCCCAUUGAAAGAACUCGGUGUCCUGUUCGCCAGGAGGACGUCAGUGUUUCUAUGGAAACUCUUCCCAAAGAUUCUCGCUCGGCGCUGCUGCUGCGUAUUGUAUGACCGGCUUUGUACACGGCAAUUCAUUAUAGAGGCUGUGACGAAAAGGGAACAGCUUUCUGCCCAGAGGGAAAAAGCAUUCGGAAAAAAAACCCAGCGACAACAAAAAACACCUCCGUAUUAAUAAAGUAAGCCACUAAAAUGGAAGGUGCCAAAGCCGUUCGGUAUUUGAGUUAUGAAUGGAAUCUGCUCGCCUGCGCUGCUUGCAGAGAAGUGAAACGCACCGAGACCCGAGCAAUUAGCUGGGCUGACAAAAUGGACACGCUGCAUAUAGGAUGUGUUUUGUUCCGAGUCGCUGAGGGGAAAGUGUUCCACCACAGCCGCUGUGAUCCAGGAGUGCCACGCAGUAACGAACGGACCCACACUGAGCCCGGGACGUGCGCUGCUGUGGGCGCAGGGCUCUCAUCCAGCUCAGAAAAUCACGGGGACCAGCAGAGGACACACUGAUGGCACUUACGUCAGUCUCCCUUGCUGGAUGUGUCCAAAGGCGGCCAGACUGCUCACCCCACGGAAACGAGCAGCACACAUUAAAGGGCAGCAAGGCAAAAGGUCUGCGUCCCAUUCCCACCUCUACCCCAGGCUCACAUGCUUGUUUCCUACGGGGAGGCCUCUGCUGAAUUUGAAGGUGUGGAACUUUGGGAGGUUGAUGUGGCGGUGCCCAGCAGUGGGCUGGCAGCAGAGCUGUGCUCCGGUACGCAGCUCCAGGCAUUGGGCCGCUCCGUACAGCAGUGGGAAGCAGCCCCUGACCCAGCAGCAGUCCGAGAUCUCCUAAAGAAAACGCAGUGCUCGUGCACUGAGCUGGAAAACGGCACCCAGGGAAAACUGGGCAGAGAAUGAGAAGAGACAAGUAUUUUAUUUUUAAACCUUAUGAAUUUCUGAGUGGUUCUGCUGUGCUGCUUUCUGAGGGAGGGAGGCAGAAUUGGGAAAAUAGGAAUUUCAAACCAUGCUCGCUCCCUGAUCCUGCACUAAGGACUUGUAUUACCUUUAAUUGAUGUCUCUGAGUGCAUUCUCAUUGAUCUACCACAACUGCGCUCUUUGUGCAGAGAACAUUCUAUUCUGAGAGUGCAAUCUAGUCCCAUGCAAACCAUAGAGAUGUUUCCUGAUAACAUAAUUUGGAAAAAGAGGAUGUAAUUACUGCCUGUGCUGCAUGCACGGCGUCUGCGCGCCUUGCGCCCAACCCAUGGCCCCAGUUGGAGUCUGCACCGGGGAGAUCUCCCAACGCCCUCAGUGUGGUUCUCGUUUUGCAGAACGUCUUUUCCAUCCUAUUAAAUAUGUAAGCCCUCGUGCCUUUGAUUUUAGCUUCCCAACGACAUCUCGCGCUGAAAUUAUUCAGAAGGAUCUCGGAGGUUCUUGCAUAUGAAAGUCAGAGAUCUCUGCUGAGGGAAGGUCUGCUCUUGGAGGAGAGGAGAGCAGCGCUGCAGGCAGCGGCUGCAGAGUGGUGGGGAGAGGGCAGCUCUGCUGGGGGGAGAUCGUUCCUGGGAGCACAGCAAGGUGGGCUCUCGCUUUCAAGAGCGACACUUACACAUAGAAGAGCUCAGAACUCAUCUGACCCACUCCAAAAAAAGAUAGAAAUCUGUGUGCCCAUACUACGCAACCCACGUGGUGCAGCUGUGUGACUUAAGGUGGCACGCUCCUGUCUCAUAGACUGUGCCAUUGGCAACUCUGCUUCGUUGCCUGCUCAGCGAUGGAAGACACGUGGGGUGGGACGCCGCAAUCUGGAUUUUCAUUGCUAAGGCCAAAUCUGUCUCAGUUCAGCCGUGGCUGCACUGUCCAUAGUGGGGCUCUGUGUGAAAUAAGCACGCUGUAGUCACGAUAGCAAACCAAACCAAAAUUAAAUCCAAAUCAAAUUGAAAAAAAUCCAUUUCCUCGGAAGGCAGCAGAGCAGGUGAGUCAAAGACAGAGGAAAUACAGGCAAAGCUGGAGAAACACAGAUGUAAAUGUGUUCAUCUUAAAACAUUCCUUUAAAGUCACAGGAAAGCCAUGCAGUGCGUGCAAUGCCUGAGGUUUCUUAAACAGGGAAAGAAGAUUAAAAUACUGAUCUCCACUGGUUUCAUCGUGCAGCAGCAAAAAUGAGUGUGGCCAGGAAGGCUGACCUAUGGGAGAUGAGAAAGCGAAGCCAUACACGUGGCUGAGGCGGGGUGCAGGAACAGCGGGGUGGGCUGUUGUUUGAAAGACAGCACAGUUCAGGGCUGAAGAUGAAGGGAAGGUUGGUGCAGCUCUGGAGAAGUGUCCUUUCAGACACUGGCGCGUACAUCAAGUCAUGGCAGCCCUGGCAUACAGAUGUGGAGGCACCGGGCUGCACUAAGCUGCCAUGGGGGUCACUGGAUGCCACCAGCGACUUACAGCACUUCUAUUCCCGAGUUUCCAAAGCAAAUCACCUUCAGCAAAGCGAUGGCUCAGCUCUCAGUACACACCACAUCUCCUCCCGUGAGGCGCCCGGCAGCACCGCGCCUUUCUUACAGCCCUGAGCAAAACCCAAAGCGCGGAGCAGCCCGGAGCUCCGGGGGAACGGACAGACCCACCCCGUGCAUCCUUCCCAUCUCUGGUUUCCAUGACAGUUGCAUAAUCAGACAUUUAUGUAAGUAGAGGUUUCCUCUUUAAAUAGCAGGCUGUGAUCUCAUGCGCACCUACAUAUCACCCAUCUGAGUGGAGAUGAUGUGCCAGUCGUGUAGAACUCGCUAUGCUUCCAACUUAUUUUCCCAUACUGAUGGUGGCUGAUGAGCCCGCAGGGCACUGCUCACACACAACUCGUUUCUCAGGGCCUGAAGCAGCCGCCAGCCCCGGCUCUGACGCGUGGCUGUGCUCAGCACUCACUCGGGCCCCGGUCCCCACCCGGGGUGGGCAGAUCCACACUGCAUCCCCCCAUUGCUGCAGCUGCACCAUCCGCCCCCGGGGGCUCCUGCAGGCGGGGGUCGUUGGGCCGGCACUGCGCUGGGCCUUCUGCAGGGCCCCACUGAGCUCACACCAACAGGGCUGCGUCACAGACGCCAGAGAUGCGGCCCUCCUCCCAGGUGUGACAGCAGUUGAAAUGAAGAGAAGCAGAUCUGCUCUGCAGAAUUCCUGUCCUGCUCGCACCUCAGUUCACGUAAUGAGCUGGAGAUGCACUCAGGGGUAACUGCCGUUACAUCUGCUUGCUAAAAGAUCUAAAGAGAGCUCCGCUCCCUGCGAGAAGUGGCAGUGGACGCUGCAGUCCCAGCGCCAGCAGCUCUCGGUGUGUGCGGGCACUGUGGUGCACUCAGCUCCACGCGCCGUUAGCAGCCAGUCCUUCCCAAACCACUGCAGCACCGUAUGCAGAAAUGUGCCCCAGGAUGAGGGGAGCCGGCAGCUGUGCCAGCCUUCGGCCUCAGCUCGGGGCCGUGGCAGCUGCCGCACAGAGCCUGCUCUCACUGACAGCAACACGGAGCG